CCUACGGGUGGCUGCAGUGGGGAAUUUUGCACAAUGGGGGAAACCCUGAUGCAGCAACGCCGCGUGAGUGACUCAGCACUUCGUUAUGUAAAGCUCUAUCAGCAGGGACGAAAAUUACCGUUCCUGAGUAAGAAGCCACGGCUAACUACGUGCCCGGCACCGCCGUAAUACGGGGGGGGCAAGCGUUAUCCGGAUUUACUGGGUGUAAAGGGAGCGUAGACGGCAGUGCAAGUCUUGUGUGAAAGUCGGGGGCUCAACCCCCGGACGGCACUGGAAACUGGAAGGCUGGACUGCAGGAGAGGUGAGUGGAAUUCCUAGUGUAGCGGUGAAAUGCGUAGAUAUUAGGAGGAACAACAGUGGCGAAGGCGGCUUACUGGACUGUAAUUGACGUUGAGGAUCGAAAGCGGGGGGAGCAAACAGGAUUAGAUACCCGUGUAGUC
Molecule: ribosomal RNA, 440 nt
Filed under: uncultured bacterium
Lineage: Bacteria
Description: partial 16S ribosomal RNA
Rfam family: Bacterial small subunit ribosomal RNA
Source: RNAcentral